AACCCUUCAAAUUCGGCGAAACCCCUGGCGCGCGACGCGCCGAGGCAACGCCGAGCCAAGUCCCGAGACAGCCGAGGCGGCUGUGGCGGGAAAGGUGUAGAGACUAGACGGGGGGC
RNAcentral lists this unclassified non-coding RNA (116 nucleotides) under Burkholderia pseudomallei. Its description in RNAcentral is "Group I catalytic intron as predicted by Rfam". The record is from RNAcentral. RNAcentral also lists the same sequence under 1 other name. Lineage: Bacteria; Pseudomonadati; Pseudomonadota; Betaproteobacteria; Burkholderiales; Burkholderiaceae.